AUCCCUGUGGUGUAACGGUAGCACAAAUGGUUUUGAUCCAUUUAGUUCAAGUUCGAAUCUUGGCGGGGAUACCA
This 74-nucleotide transfer RNA is filed under the name Lentisphaeria bacterium. RNAcentral's name for it is "tRNA-Gln". It matches the Rfam family "tRNA". Rfam says of the family: Transfer RNA (tRNA) molecules are approximately 80 nucleotides in length. Their secondary structure includes four short double-helical elements and three loops (D, anti-codon, and T loops). RNAcentral also lists the same sequence under 1 other name. The record is from RNAcentral. Lineage: Bacteria; Pseudomonadati; Lentisphaerota; Lentisphaeria.